CCUACGGGAGGCAGCAGUGGGGAAUCUUGCGCAAUGGGCGAAAGCCUGACGCAGCCAUGCCGCGUGAAUGAUGAAGGUCUUAGGAUUGUAAAAUUCUUUCACCGGGGACGAUAAUGACGGUACCCGGAGAAGAAGCCCCGGCUAACUUCGUGCCAGCAGCCGCGGUAAUACGAAGGGGGCUAGCGUUGCUCGGAAUUACUGGGCGUAAAGGGAGCGUAGGCGGAUAGUUUAGUCAGAGGUGAAAGCCCAGGGCUCAACCUUGGAAUUGCCUUUGAUACUGGCUAUCUUGAGUUUGGGAGAGGUGAGUGGAACUCCGAGUGUAGAGGUGAAAUUCGUAGAUAUUCGGAAGAACACCAGUGGCGAAGGCGACUCACUGGCCCAAUACUGACGCUGAGGCUCGAAAGCGUGGGGAGCAAACAGGAUUAGAUACCCUGGUAGUCCACGCCGUAAACGAUGAGUGCUAGUUGUCGGCAUGCAUGCAUGUCGGUGACGCAGCUAACGCAUUAAGACACCUCCGCCGUCGGGGAGGUACGGUCGCGAAGAAUUAAACUACAAUAGAAGUUAGACGGCGUGAGACGUCGCCGACGGACGACGACGAGGGAGGUUAGG
RNAcentral lists this ribosomal RNA (609 nucleotides) under uncultured bacterium. RNAcentral describes it as "bacterial SSU rRNA". The stretch from base 1 to 519 matches the Rfam family "Bacterial small subunit ribosomal RNA", at positions 338 to 873 of the family's 1533-position model. The record is from RNAcentral.